CCUACGGGUGGCAGCAGUGAGGAAUAUUGGUCAAUGGACGAGAGUCUGAACCAGCCAAGUAGCGUGAAGGAUGACUGCCCUAUGGGUUGUAAACUUCUUUUAUAAAGGAAUAAAACGAGGCACGUGUGCCUUUUUGCAUGUACUUUAUGAAUAAGGAUCGGCUAACUCCGUGCCAGCAGCCGCGGUAAUAUGGAGGAUCCGAGCGUUAUCUGGAUUUAUUGGGUUGAAAGGGAGCGUAGAUGGGUUGUUAAGUCAGUUGUGAAAGUUUGCGGCUCAACCGUAAAAUUGCAAUUGAUACUGGCAGUCUUGAGUACAGUUGAGGUAGGCGGAAUUCGUGGUGUAGCGGUGAAAUGCUUAGAUAUCACGAAGAACCCCGAUGGCGAAGGCAGCUUACUAAACUGUGACUGACAUUGAUGCUCGAAAGUGUGGGUAGCAAACAGGAUUAGAUACCCCGGUAGUC
Molecule: ribosomal RNA, 460 nt
Filed under: uncultured bacterium
Lineage: Bacteria
Description: partial 16S ribosomal RNA
Rfam family: Bacterial small subunit ribosomal RNA
Source: RNAcentral